CAGUCGCCACGGUAAUACGUAGGGUGCAAGCGUCAAUCGGAAUUACUGGGCGUAAAGCGUGCGCAGGCGGUUUGUUAAGACAGAUGUGAAAUCCCCGGGCUCAACCUGGGAACUGCAUUUGUGACUGGCAAGCUAGAGUAUGGCAGAGGGGGGUGGAAUUCCGCGUGUAGCAGUGAAAUGCGUAAAUAUGCGGAGGAGCACCGAUGGCGAAGGCAGCCCCCUGGGCCAAUACUGACGCUCAUGCACGAAAGCGUGGGGAGCAAACAGGAUUAGAUACCCCGGUAGUCCCUGUCUCUUAUAC
RNAcentral lists this ribosomal RNA (301 nucleotides) under uncultured bacterium. Its description in RNAcentral is "partial 16S ribosomal RNA". It matches the Rfam family "Bacterial small subunit ribosomal RNA", at positions 509 to 807 of the family's 1533-position model. The record is from RNAcentral.